ACUGUACAUAUACACGUGGACGCGCAUGCGCAGAGAGCCGCGACGUCGAUGGAUUUGCUGUUACCUGCAGGGAGCAGGCUGCAUGCAGGAUACAUGCGCGAUGACAUCGCUCGUGUGUGCCUGUUGGUUGGCUGCUUUUCCCUCUUUUCUCCACUCGCCAACCUACCGCCGUGGCAUAUAACCGGUUCCGCGCCGCGUGCAAACUCCUUCCUAUCCUCUCAACCUUCUCUCCAUUCCUUCCUUUUUCAUGCAGACCCAUCGUCUCUCUUCCGAACCGUUCCGACCUCCCCCACUUCUUUUCUCUCCCUUUUUUCCUCGUGUUAUAUCAUUCUCGCUCUCUCGUUGCGUGUAUACCGUGCGCAAACGAUGGAACAGAGCAACGAGUUCGCAAGAACUGUCCGCCAUUCCAGCCAUCCCUGCCGUUCUGCAUGUUUUCCUCUCGUUCUAUUUCGUCACCGAUGUACAGCUCGCGUGUGUACGCGCCUUCGACGUUGGAAUGCCGCUUCGUGGUCAUAUCUAGUGGGACGUGCUCUUCAUUCCGUAGCCUGUCCUUAUCGCGCUAACGUGAUUUGUCCAAACGUGCAUACAGCGCUCUACUACAUACUACGCUACCACUCGUCGCCUCGGUCAAUAUCACAUCGUGUACUCCUCCGGCUAGCUGACGCGCACUGCGCAUCGAUAUCACGCGGUUUGGCCCUUCGUUUUAGGAUAAACUUACACGAGAGCGGUCACGCGCACCUGUUAUAUGUAUACGUCUCGAGCUUACGUUUCAUUUCGUUGGCAUCAUUUUUGAUGGCUAUUAUUCAUUCUACUAAAUAGGUAACCUGCUAGGAACGUUUAGCUUUCUAAACAAUGUUCGCGAAGAAGGCGACGGGGCAAUGCCACGAAGAAGGAGACGACGCAUAUUGCACCGGACGGUUAAUGGCGUGAUGGCGUGACAUCGGUGCACACGCACACCGAGGUGGGGCGAACGGGACGAAACGAAGCGAAAUGAAACGGCCGGAACGCGAUGUCGCGUGGCUUGCAGUCGCGUGUGUCGCAAGUAUUACACACGAUCUCUUGACUAAAUGCUUUAGCGCACGAACACACGUUCGUAUCGUUGUUUCGUUUCUUCCCUUCUAAUUCCCGAUCCUUUAACCCUUCUUACGUGCUCUACGUAACUAUUACUUUAUGCUAGGCGAGAUUACUCGUUUAAGGCGCACGAGAAUGGCUUAUCAAUUUCCUCCUGACAGAGAAAAAAAACUCUACGACUAAUGCGAUUUCUUCUCCUCCGGUUGCUGUAAUAAUACCGUGUCGUACAUGAAAUCGGACGCGCAGAAAAAUCAAUGUACAUUUCUAAUUUCAAAAGUUAUAUUCUGAGGAUUUUGUGUUUAAAAUCGGUAUCAAAUUAAAAGGACGGUGAUGCUACUACGCUUUUACCAUUCGCUAAGUUUAUUCGUCGCAUCGCCGAAUACGGUGUCUGUUCGGUCUAAAAACAACAUACACGAUUGCUUCCGCGAACAACUUUCAUGAUUGUUUUAAUGGCCGCGUAUAGCGGAACAGCUGUAAAAAUGAUCCACGAGUUUGAUACUCGGUUUUCUUAUUUGCCCGGUGAAACCCGACCGAUGCGACGUGCAAAAUUUAAAGUCAAAUGUGUCCGAUUAUCCGUCGUUCGAUCUCCAUCAGAUAGCUUAAGGAAGAGGAAAAGAAAAAAGAGAAAACGUUAGUUCGGUUUGCACCCUCUUCUUUGUUUCGAGGCGAAACGUGCCGUUAAACAGCUCAAAGAAACACCUGACGACGUCAGACGGCCGUCCAGAAGAACGUGUACGUAUGUACGUGCAUACCUGUGGCAGGUGAAUCGAGGAGUCAGGUGCCCGAGCAGAUGGGGUAGUACCUUUACACGAGAAAACGUUAUAAAAGCGGUCUAUCAAAAAUGUAGGUUACGGACUAGAACAAAUGCCAGCCGUUAGAGUAAAUGUGACGCUUUUAACUGAUUUUCGACGAUGUUAAUGGCGUACAGUUACACGAACGCGGGGGCUGUGUCGAUGGAACUUUUUGGCAACACGAUAUAGGAAGAGUUGAAAUCUUGUAACCCGGCUAUCAAAUUCACGAUCCUUCGAGUUUUCAAUUUUUCAGCGUUGACAAGUUUUAGACUUGCAGUACUUUGUUUGCAAUUAUUGAAGAUAGCGACGAUAGCGUAGAAUAUGCGAGGUUAAGGAUUAAAUAAAAAAAAUUUCGAAAACGUCGUUCGACGCAGAACAAUAAGAUAAAACGUCCUUCGAGACGUUCUCGUCAACCGGACGAAUAUAACGAGCGCAUCUUUUUUUCAUGGACACGUAUCGUGAGCUGUACACGUACGCGUCUUCGGUGUAUGCAGUCGCGCGAACUAAAAGACUAUGUCCAGUCACGUGUCAGAGUGGAAUAGCGAAAACGUGAUGCGAUUAUGCAUUCUUCCUACAUCGUUGUUUCUCGGCUCGAUACGACCAGCGGACCCGCGAACAGAUACACAUACUUAUUAGUCUAACGUUUUACGGUAAUUCUAUCAAACGUUUCUUUUUAACAAACGUCACCGGAUUUCACGCGAUUAGUUAUGCAAAUCUUUUCUUAUCACGAGAUCAACGAAUGGGUAAUGAAGCCAUUCGGUCGUCAAACACGAUCAAUGAAACGAGACGCUCGAACUUUUUCAAUGUGUAGAAACUUCGUUGUUUUGUAAAUAUCGAGCAAACGAUUCCAGGUGAGAGGCAGGAUUAGUAACGUAUUUGGCAUCGUGCACCAAAUAACGUAUAACAAAACGUAGCAGAUGGUACUAAUUAUAGAAUUAAGUAUCAUAAAAGACACGAAGCUGAUUUAGGUGGAAAAUAAGAUUGUAGCAGCAAAUACAAUGUGUUACAUCGAACAAGUAGCAAUUACUGUCGAACAGCGGAUAAUUAAAGCCUUUAAUUCGAAAUCGGUAAGAGAGGUCCUGUGAAAUUUUCGACCGAAAAACACGUAACGAUAACGACAGAAACGAACAGCUGCCAGAAUGUUUGAUUAGAUGUCAGAAAAGAAUUGCCCCGAAGCAGAUCUUAUCAUUUCAAAUCACAGCUGUCUCCUGCCGCUGUCAGCCGGUUAACCGGUUGAUGCGUUUUGAAAUACAGAUAUUCGACAAAAAAUCGAUAUACUCGACAAACGGCGUAAAAACGAUUUAUCGUUAUCGAACGAUAUACGCGUCCUUUUAAUCAUCAUACGACUGAUAAAGUCAAAGAUGACAUUUUAUGAAACUUGGGCAAAACAUUUUUUAACAAUAAAGAGAAAAAAUCUUAGAUUCAAAGACAAAAAAUAUCGACGAAGGAAAGUUACGAACAUAAAUUGCGAAAUUUUUAGUGUUCAAUUUUAAUUUCUUUUUUCGGCGAUACGGUAUCUUCGCUUUUUGCUAGCGUUUUAAUUGCUCAAUAUUCAAUGCAACGCGCGUUCUGUAGCAACGGUCAUUCAUAACCUUUAAGUCGAUUAAAAUUUUCGAAAAUCAAGAACGGUAAGGAGAGCAUAAAUAGUAAUACCCCAGUUAUCUUGUACGUUUCGAAACGUUAGGACAAAGAGGGCAGUAUGCAAUAUCGGGAAGCGUUCAGAAACGGGAGCAAACAAUCGAAGGACGUUCGUUAUUCCGGAAACGUUCGCGCGUCGUCGGCAGCCGCUUUCAUCGAACGCGACGGAUCUGUCGCUUAAUCGAUAAGUAUCGGUCAUUUACGAGCCACGUCCAUGGAUAAUUUUAAAACGCGCGUUCGAGAGUGAAGUGGGUCGAGAAGAUACGUGGAAACGGCGAUGUACGGUGAACUGUGGCCAGUUCCAAGGCGAGAUUGAUUUUAAAUAUAACAUAAAACGUCGAUGCGUAAGCGUAUACGCGCGCGCCAUCGUUCGAGUUCGUGCCGGAAAACGUACGAUUGCGCAUGCGCUUACGCUUGCGCGCAGGGCUGUAAUUCGAAUGCGAAUUCGGCAUUAAAAGGUAUCUACGAUUCUUUACAUUUUUUUUAUCAAUCGUCGUUACAUUAUUCGUACGAAACGUUAUCAUAAUUGUCAACAUAAAAAGGGUCGUUAAAAUAUGGCCACAAAUUUUAUCUACGAAUUUAAAAGGCACCAGAAGAAAUCUUCCGCAAGAUGGUAGCUUUCUACCGCUUUGCGUUCGACUCGAGACCGAAAAACAAGAGUGAGUCAGACUAGCAGUGGGAGACUAACUUCUCGCGUCUCCUUGAAACUCGCGAGCUUGGCGUGCUCGUGACUGACUGGCGUCGUAGAAGAAAUGUGGAAAGUGGCGUGUUCGCGCGCGAGCGUGCAACAUGUAAAAGAAACUUCAGUAUCGAUCCAGCGCCUCUUUAGAAAGUCACGUUGGCUUGGCGUGUUGAUACCGAUAAGUUCCUCGUCCCUCGAACCUCUACGACCGUGCGACGUUGUGUCGUAGCCGGCAAGAUAGGCGGUUUAUCGCGUACCGCGAUAAGGAGCCGCGUAGCGUAAGAGUACGAUUGAACGGAACGCGACGAAAAAACCUAAAGAUAUUGUUCGUGCACGGAUUUGUCGCUUUGAUCACGUGACGUAGUCGACCGGUCUUGUCUACACUAGACACGUGCACUUCCUUAGAGAAAAUGUUACUUAAAAAUUUAAGAACGUAGAAAUUCAGUAAUUUAGAAAGGUAUAUGAUUUCCAAAAAUUUUAGUUAAAGGAAGCCUACGUUGCACGCGAUUUACGUGCACGCGGUAAACCGUUUCGAUACUUUCCGUCCGCUUUCGGAUCCGUUCAGUCAUCCAUCGUUGUUCUGCCUGCUGACUCGACCGCGUUACUCGCUUGUAAUUACCUGUUCAUCGUCAAACCGUUACUAAAUAUACGCCACAACGGGCUUAGACUCACUCGAGUAAAACUUCCUUGAUUUCCCUUUUGAAUCGAGCGUUCAACAAUGUACGAGUCACCGAAUCUUCAUUUUUUCAUUCGUUCAUUUGACUUCGCAAUUGGAACAUAUUUUUGCUUAACCUAAUUUAAAAUUUAUGAUUGCAGAAGACACUGAUCGUAAUAAAAAUUUUUAGGUUAAAAAACAGGAAAUGUCCUUUUGUUACAUUUAGUUUAAUUUAUAUUACAACUUGGAGAGUUAAAUAUUAUUUUAAUCUUGCUUUAGUGUCAGUUCUAUAGGUGCAUUUUUGAAAGAAAUAUCUCUGUGGAAAUUGCAUCGAUUCUUCCCAGAUCGAGAAACGCCACGUACGAGUCGCCUGCGAGUUCCGUAAUUGUGGAAUAUUUUGCAAUUCGUAGAUUGGAAGGCGCCUUUCUCGAAAGAGCGUCGACGAUGGCGAUGCUGGUCACGUAAGCCCGUAGUUCCGAGGGUGCCCUGAGCACGCCAUGGAAUACUAGAAUACUAGCGGCGAGAAUGUGCGGCGAAUACCCGCGACGCGAGUAACCGCGAGCGAGCGAGCGAGUGAGCGAAUCGGAUCUAUAGUAUGCCCCUCACGCUUCGACGCGCCUCCGUAUAUAUGUACUUGUAUGUAUCUAUCUACUUAAACGUGCCUAUGUGCUCUACGUAGCCAGCAUAAUUUCAGGUUUUCCCGCGCCGGAAGUUGAGAAAAAAUAUUAUGGGACCCUCGUGCAGUCGUGAUAAGCAAUUUCGCAAUUUUUCGCGGUUAUUCGCGUCGCAUUGUUAACAAUGACGGACGAAAGGGCUGCCACUUAUAGCUGUGCAAAAUAUACCUCGCACAUGAACGGCAUUUUGAUCGACUAUAAAUAUAUUAAAUAUUAUACUUUACACUAAUUUUGUCUUCUCGUGUUCAAAUAGAGCCUACUAAAAAAAUCUAAUACGCGUAGCGAUUGACAGAUUACAUUUAAAAACUAUACAUCGUAAAAUAGCUCGUUCCUAUCUGGCAAUUAUAGAGUGAAGGAUAGUGACAUAACAAAUCACGCGUCACGAAUACGUAAAGGUUAAUCGUUAAAGUAUUAAUCGAAUAUAUUACUGUUCGGCUUACUCAAUGUAUACUGCAAAGAAUUUUGAUUUUCAACCGAACGGACCAUUACCUCGCCCACGUCUUAAACGGUCGCCUGAAGUCUGGUGAUCGGGUAAAACCGGUUUGAGUGCGACAGUGCCGUAACUACCUAGCGAUGUACUUCGGGAUUAGCAAAUACUCGUCAAAUUGUAACUUGUUUGUUCACCGAUUUACUUGUAUAAUGCAAGAGAAAAACUAUGUACAAUGAGUAUUACAUUAAAGUAUCGAUAGCAGCACCUUA
Molecule: long non-coding RNA, 6210 nt
Organism: Megachile rotundata (alfalfa leafcutting bee)
Lineage: Eukaryota; Metazoa; Arthropoda; Insecta; Hymenoptera; Megachilidae
Source: RefSeq, a predicted model, not a curated record